Non-coding RNA from Roridomyces roridus, 72 nucleotides. Lineage: Eukaryota; Fungi; Basidiomycota; Agaricomycetes; Agaricales; Mycenaceae. The record is from the annotation of a GenBank genome assembly.
GGCUGCCUAGUGUAACGGUCAUCACAUCAGAUUCUGAUUCUGGGGACCCCGGUUCGACUCCGGGGGCGGCCU